Non-coding RNA from Cucurbita pepo subsp. pepo (vegetable marrow), 73 nucleotides. NCBI's taxonomy places the organism in Eukaryota, Viridiplantae, Streptophyta, Magnoliopsida, Cucurbitales, Cucurbitaceae. The record is from the annotation of a RefSeq genome assembly.
GGUUCUUAGCUCAGUUGGUUAGAGCGUUGGUCUUAUGAGCCGAAGGUCGUGGGUUCGAGCCCCGUUAGAUCCA